Molecule: ribosomal RNA, 454 nt
Filed under: uncultured bacterium
Lineage: Bacteria
Description: partial 16S ribosomal RNA
Rfam family: Bacterial small subunit ribosomal RNA
Source: RNAcentral
GAUGAACGCUGACAGAAUGCUUAACACAUGCAAGUCUACCUGAACUUCGGUUUGUGUGGCGGACGGGCGAGUAACGCGUAAAGAACUUGCCUCACAGUUAGGGACAACAUUUGGAAACGAAUGCUAAUACCUGAUAUUAUGAUUUUAGGGCAUCCUAGGAUUAUGAAAGCUAUAUGUGCUGUGAGAGAGCUUUGCGUCCCAUUAGCUAGUUGGAGAGGUAACGGCUCACCAAGGCGAGGAUGGGUAGCCGGCCUGAGAGGGUGAACGGCCACAAGGGGACUGGGACACGGCCCUAACUCCUACGGGAGGCAGCAGUGGGGAAUAUUGGACAAUGGACCAAGAGUCUGAUCCAGCAAUUCUGUGUGCACGAUGACGUUUUUCGGAAUGUAAAGUGCUUUCAGUUGAGAAGAAGAAAAUGACGGUACCAACAGAAGAAGUGACGGCUAAAUACGUG